RNAcentral lists this ribosomal RNA (253 nucleotides) under uncultured bacterium. RNAcentral describes it as "partial 16S ribosomal RNA". It matches the Rfam family "Bacterial small subunit ribosomal RNA", at positions 524 to 776 of the family's 1533-position model. The record is from RNAcentral.
UACGUAGGGGGCAAGCGUUGUCCGGAUUUAUUGGGCGUAAAGAGCGUGUAGGCGGCCAGACAGGUCCGUUGUGAAAACUCGAGGCUCAACCUCGAGAUGUCGAUGGAAACCGUCUGGCUAGAGUCCGGCAGAGGAGUGUGGAAUUCCUGGUGUAGCGGUGAAAUGCGCAGAUAUCAGGAAGAACACCUAUGGCGAAGGCAGCACUCUGGGACGGUACUGACGCUGAGACGCGAAAGCGUGGGGAGCAAACAGG